Molecule: non-coding RNA, 106 nt
Organism: Gossypium arboreum
Lineage: Eukaryota; Viridiplantae; Streptophyta; Magnoliopsida; Malvales; Malvaceae
Source: Rfam
ACUUGGUGAUGAGGAAACUACUUUCGCAUGUCAUUAAAACAUCCCCAUGACUCACAUAAAAUUUCUUUAUUAUAUUACCGGAAACGAUAAUGUCAUUCCACAACUU